This is a long non-coding RNA of Magnolia sinica, 841 nucleotides long. RefSeq lists it as uncharacterized. Lineage: Eukaryota; Viridiplantae; Streptophyta; Magnoliopsida; Magnoliales; Magnoliaceae. The transcript has 4 exons. The record is from RefSeq and is a predicted model, not a curated record.
GUUGUAAAGAUCUUUCAGAAUGAUGACAGUGAGAACUCGGAUUUUCCUAAACCUUGGAAUCAAGCUAAUUUUGAGGGAUUGUUGUUUGCUCUUGCAUGGAAGGUCUGUUUUUCACAUUUCCUUUCAAAGAAAUAUAUUGUUGGUUUGAGUUCUCUAACCAUCUUCCACUAUUCUAUAGGGUGUGGGAAAUAGGGAAGCUGUAUGGCAGCGUAGAUACUUUUGUCUGGUCGGGCCAUUUCUUUGUAUACUAGAAAGCCCUACUUCCUAAACUUACAAACAGUGUCUCAGGUUCUUAGAUAGUACUCUUUUAUUUUGCUCAUAUCUAGCAUUUUGUAUCUGGCUGUCCUUUCAAAAUUCCAAAUUUUAAGCUGUAAAUGAGUGCACCAGAAAAUAGUUAUAAAAACUGUUAAAUCUGUCACCUCUCUCUUCUCCAACCUACGUGGAAAACAAGUAUAUCAGGUUCCUCCGGAGCAUGCUGACAAUGUGGAAAAUGUGUUAGCAGUUUAUGAUGUUGGGCAAUCAAACAUCAAGGUCAUCGAACUUGUUAAUGCAUUGAUUUUGCAAUGUGAUAAUGAUAAUUCGUGGCGAACUUGGUAGAACUGCCUUCAAAGGGCUAUCUAUCGUGCAUCGGAAUCAUAUGAAGAGUUUAAGCACGUGCUUCUUGCAUUUAUAUUUGACAAAGGAUUAGACAUCUCCUGUGGCAAAUGAGUAUUAAUUUGCUAGAGAACAGAGGAGGAGGGCAUUUUGAGGAAAAGCAGGUCCUAUUAAUUUUCAGGGAUGUAUGCAAUGCAGUAUUUGCAAUGCAUUCCGAUUCACCAUUGAUUGCUCAUAGGUAAGGCCC